GUCCUUAAAAGUUGAUUGUCCAAAUAAGCAUGGAAUAUGAUUGUCAGAUACUGAGUACUCAUAAAAAAAGUGAAUGUACCUAAGAGGCCUCUCUGUUAUAGGGAUUUGAUCAAAUUAGUCCUUCAACUAUUAAAUAGAUCAAUUUAGUCCCUUUACUAUUAAAAAGAAUCAAAUAAGACCAAAUUAGAAUAGAGUUAAAAUUUACUAUUUUAAAAAGUUAAUAUUUUUAAAGUUUUUACGAUUUUGUAAAUAAAAUCUUUUGUUUAGAUUUGAGUUGCAAUUGAAAAAUAAUAAUUUUCAAUACAUUUUUUAGAUAGUGAAUGUUAACUCUAUUACAAUUUGGACUUAUUUGAUUCUUUUUAAUACUAUAAGGACUAAAUUAAUCCAUUUAAUAAUAGAGGGGACUAAUUUGAUCCAGUACCUAUACAGGUACUUUAACCCAUAAACAAAUGAAAAGUCGAAGCCAUAUAGAUUUUUUGAAUGAAACUCAUCAAAGAGCCAGAGAUAUAGGAAUCACCUCAACAUGAAGAAGAUACAAAUCGGAAUCAAGAAUCAAGUUUAGUCCAAUGUGAAUUAUCCAUCUUGGAACCAUUUUGUCAAUCGAAACACCAAAGUUUCUCGGGAAAGUCCAAAUCAAUCUACUAUUACCUGGACUAACCGGAACACACAUAAAAAUCAAAGAAAAUCUUCGAUUCGGUGGCAGUGCCUGCAAAAAAAUACUUCUUUAUUGGUAAACAACACUCGGAAAACAAAUAAUAUACUGGACCUGACAGUCCACCGGUUCAACCAGUUCAACCUGCUGAUAAAUAGCAAUAUAUAGUGAAGUGAAUGCAGAACCUUUACAAUUUCGGAAGAUGUUGCAGAUCCAUUUUCUUGAUCAACUUCGACAUCAGUAAAAGCAUGAAAGAUGCAAGGUGCAAUAAAGUUAGAACUAUCCAAAUCUUGCUUUCCAAGAAAACCAUUUAUGUCCAACUUCUUAACUUUCAUAUCAAGUGGUCUACCCCCUUCUCUAUCAACCUUCACUGUGAACCAAAAUGUGCAAUUUUAGAUGCAAGAAUUCGAUAUCGCGAAAAUACAUACAUCAAGAACCUCUUACCGGUUGGGGUCCGAGUGCACAUUAUACCAUAAUGUGCAUAUGGAACAUGAGCAGGAUCCAUAAGAUUUUCAACCAGUACCUCGUACCUGAAAAUGCAAACUUAGUUUCUUCAACAAAUUUCAGCAACUAUUGAUGAUUUACAUCCACUACAUUACUCUCUUCAUUUUUCUUAGAGUACUCGCAUAAUUUGCAUACCCAUAAGGGAUAUCUCUGUUUACCAUCGACUUUGAAAAUGAAGGAUCAUCUAAUACAGGAAAGUAAGGAGGCUUUUUCUUUGUUAUAAUAUCUUUGUAUUGAGGAUCAGCAUUUGGCCAAACCCAUACAAUAUCAUGUUGCACAACACUUGGAUAAACAGCCACACAUGCUUUCUUGAAUGUAUGGACCUGCAAAUUUGAAAACCAAAGUUAAAAUAAGAGAACCCUUUUUGCCAAUAAUGCCACACAUUACAAGCAAUUGCUUAUUACUGUUGAGGGGAGGCCGGACUCUUUAUUAGGAGAAGUUUUCAAAGUAUCAUGAGCAGACGAACCCCUCAAUGGUUGAGGUAUUGUGCUCAAGGUGUCUAUGCUCGGUUUGUCUCUCGACUCCGCAGGGAGCCCUGACAGGUCCAUAAAGUGAGAACACCUUGCCCACCAAGGAAAUAAGAGCAUUUGGCCUUGGUGGGUUUGAAACCAUGCCCUUAUAUGGCAUUAGUAGGUAAGAAUAGUACCACUUGAGCUAGUGACCUCCCCUCAACAAUUAUAAUAUCAACACUUUAAAAGAGGAUCAGUAUGUAAAUACACUAUACUAAUUGAAGUUAGGAGAUUAGUGAAGAAUACUAUACGUCCACACAUUCAUUUUUCUUAAAAUAGUCGUGUCUGACAUUCAAUCCAACACACAAAUUCGUAGAUAUGAUCCCGAGUCGUAUCUUCAAAUAUAUACAUGUAUUCAAUACUCAUACCCGAGUCAGAGUAAACACCCAUACCUAUGUCCUUACAUGUAUAGAUAUAUCAUACAUGUAGGAGAAUUAAACCCCAGAAAGUUCCAAAUAAUCCUAACAUUAGAACAGCAAAAACAGAACAUAAUUAAACAUGAUGAUAUGAACUAAAAGAAAAGGGUUACCGGGGGUCCAUCUACGGGAGCUUGAGGAAUGAUUUUGCAGUCACCGUUGCCACCAAAACACCAACCAUGGUACACACAUUGUAACCUCCCCCAUUGAUCAAUUCUUCCCUCAGAUAAAGGAGCUAAUCUAUGAGGACAAGUAUCAUCGAACACUUUCCAUUCAUUCUCGUUCUUAUCCCACCAAACCACUAGAUCAAGUCCUAAUACUUUCUUACCAUGUGGCACCCUCUUAUCCAAAUCACUUACAGGCAUCACCGGAUACCACUGUGAGUACCAAUCGAAUCUCUCUUUACCGACCUCAGCCUCAACUUCCGGCAUAGGUGGCUCAAUAGACUCCGUUGUUGAUAUUGGGGACGAUGAUAAGGUCGUAAACAACCUGGAUUUCGAUCCAUUUCUUGUAAAACAUGGUAAUUGUAAGUUCAAAUUGUGAAAGAUGGGUUUAGAAAACUGGGUUUUGUUUCUUGUUGUUGUUGGAAUGUAUGGUGAAUAAACUAUGGUAGGAGAAGCUUUGAGAACAUCCAGGGAGGAUUAUAUAUGUUGGUUUAUUUUUCUUUUGUAUUUUAACGAUUAUGGCGUUCUUAAAAAGCUUAAAAGCAAAGAGAAAACGAAGAAGAGUGAAAGAACUUGAGGCUGAAAGAGGAUGAGCGUGUGAGUAAAUGAAACGCGUGAUGGAGGUAGACUGUGUGAGUAAAGAACUUGAGGCUGUGAGGAAAUGAAACUGAGUGAUGUGAUGUGAUCUUAGUGAGGCUAAAAAUGAAUUACAAAACAGUGCUUAUUGAAAAGUCGAGGAAAUAAAACAACAAAUAGUAAUCAAUGAACACUCCCAAAGCAAAGACUUUGAAAUGUUUGCAUUUUGCAAAAGUCAACAUGACUUUGUAGGAUUACAAUGGUAGGAUUACAAUUGACUAGAUUUCUCCGUCUCGAAAGUGAGCUAAAAAAUGAGAAAGUUUGGGUAAAAAUAUAUAUUAAAAAGUAAAUUUAGGCAAAAAAUAAGGUUCAUUUUUUAAACAGAUCGUAUCUCGGAUAAGUUUUUUUGACCUAAGCCCGGCCUGGCUCAGAUACCCUUAACAAAGUAUCGAUACCCUUCCCAAAAGUAUCGACACCCUGCUUGAGAAUCAAUACCUUAGGGAAGGUAUCGAUAUCUCAUAAUAAGUAUCGAUACAUUUCCUAUUGUAUCAAUAUUAUAGGCUUUAAUAUGGGCCGAAAAGGAUCGGACCCAAGUUUAGCAUCUAUAAUCUAGGUUGAGUUUGGGCAAAAAUUUAAGCCUAUUUUUUGAAUCGAGCCCGGGCUUAUUAAUUGGACCUAAAAUUUUAUUAGGGCUUAACCCGAACCAGCCCAUGAACAACUCUACGAGGGAGGAACCAAUAAAAUAAAUGUGUUGAAAUUAGGCUCAAUUUAUACUACUUUAAAUAAUAGCUUUUUUAAAUUCGGAAUAAUCUUGAUCGCCAAAAUUAACAUGUGAAAAUUAAAAUUAACUUUUAGAAAGAAAAAAAAAGUUAAAUAUUCAAUUUGUAUUAAAUAUUUUAAUUAUUUAAGCAUUAAAUAUUUUACCAAAUUAAUAUUUAAAUCCUACUUUGUAUUAGUUUAUCAAAUUAAACUAAAAAUAUUAUUAAAUUUAUCAUAAAAAUUUAUAAUUUUAUAAAAAAAUCAAGUUAAAAGAAACUCUGGAAAACUUUGGGGGUGGAACACAAAUUUACCCUAUUUUUAAGCAUUAAUUAUAAGGUUAAUAAAAAAAAUUAAAACUUAAAUGGGUUGAAUUGAAAUUUUAUAAAAUUUAGGGGCAUCCUGUAAUGCCCCUUACCCGUAUUCAACGCCGAAACAGGGUUCGAGGCAUUACCGGACUUAAACACAAGAAAUCAUACGAUUCCGAGCCAUGAGAAUUAAUCUACAUUAAAACCAUUCAAAAACAAUAUGCUCAACAUUCAAUAACAUAAUUCAACUUGCAUGCAUGAUACAAGACUUUAUCACUUCACUUACUCCUUUGCAACUUUACCACAUUUCAAUCACAUACCGAACACAUUACUCAUGAGUAUACACAUAUAUAUAUAUAUGCACUUAUCACCACAUAGUCACACAUAAUUUCACUUAGUCGAUUUUCCCGAUGAACACUUCGGAAUAAUAACAGAUACACGGUGGUUCCGCACAUAGCACCACCCUUAUGAUCAAUGCUAUCCGGUAUACAUAGUAGCCUACACUUAGUACUACACAUAUGACCAAUACCAUCCGAUACACGUAGUAGCCUGCACAUAGUACUACACACGUGACCGAAGCUAUCCAGUACACAUAGUAGCCUGCACUUAAUAUUACAUAUGUGACCAUAACUAUCUUAUACUCAUAGUAGCCUACACAUAGUACUACACAUGAUUUCUCAUGAUGUCUUUCGUAUCCUUUUCUAUUCUGAAAGUUCAACCGGGAAAUUUGUCACUUAUUCUCACUUUGUCAAUUUCAACCAUAGUCAAUCUCAAUUCAUAAUUUACAUCAAAUAAUCAUUCAAUAUACAACCACAUCUCAUGUAAUAUAACAAAAUAUUAUAACAUAAGUAAAAACGAUAUAUUAUUUACAUACAAACUAGAGGUGAUCAUGGGUUGGGCUACCCAGCCCGGCCCGACGACCCGCCCGAAAAAUGGGAGGGUUUGGGUAAAAAUAUAGACCCGAAAUAUAGGUUUGGGCAAAAAAACGAGGCCCCUUGGGUAAAAUUAUUUUGGUCCAAGCCCGGCCUGAAUUAUAUAUUAAAUAUUUAUUUUUUAUUUUUAAUCAAUUAUAUAUAUUUUAUAUAUAUUUAAUAUGGGUCGGGCCGGGCCAGGCUCAGCAAUUUUUUUCGGGCCGGGCUUGGACAAAUUUUUAGGCCCAUAUUUCGGGCCAAGCAGGGCCCGAGCCUAGAAAAUGGGCCUAAAUUUUUAUCUGGGCCAGGCCCAAACUCAGCCCAGUCCGCCCCAUGAUCACCUCUAAUACAAACUUACCUCGACACCAAAAGGGCAAAAAGGGACAUAACCGUCAAUUCUCGUUUUUCCCCCGUUCUAGGUCCGAACCUCAUUUUCUUUGAUCUAUAAUAUCAUAUUUAGCCUAAUUAUUAGUCACAUUAUUCAAAUCAGUCCACAAUUCAUAUGUUGGUAAAAUUAUUGUUUUGCCCCUAAACUUUCACAUAUUUACAAAUUAGUCCCUAGGCUCGUAAAACGAAAUUUAUGGAAUUUCAUCCAUAUCAAAGACUAACCGAAUUAUUUAGGUGCUCAUAGCAGCCCAUAUAAUCCCCAAUUUCACUCAUAUAACUCAAAAUCUUCAUACUUUACAAAUUAACCCCUAAUAGCAUUUUACAACAAAAAUCACUUAACAAGAAAUGUUCAACACACAACAAGGUUUCAUUUUACUCCAUUAAACUUCACAAUCAACUAUCAUGCUUUCAUUUCCCAAAACCCUAGCCUUUCAAUCAUCUUGCAAAUUAGUCCCCUAUUUAGCUAGCUUAAGCUUCAAUGGUUCCAAAAACAUAUAAAUCAACAAAAACAAACAUAAAUUUCACUUACAUGCAAGGGUUUAAAUUUGCUAAAAAUUUGAGUUCUCCAAUGGCUAUUCUCUUGGUAAAAAACGGUGGAAGAAGAUGAGCAAAUGAAUAAAAAUAAUAUUUUUAUUUCUUUUUGUUUAUUUUAUCAUAUUUCGUUAUGUAUAGAUGAUGAGAUUCCAUUGAUACAGAGCCAAUUCCAAUAGACUUAUUGGAGGGUCCCAUUGGCGUGCAUCCAGUAGGAAUUGAACCUACGAAUUCGCCAAUUAUGAGUUGGGCGCUUUAACCAUUCAGCCAUGGAUGCUUAGCGAGGAUCCUCGUACAUGGUGAAUAACCAAAUUCCAAUUGGAUUGAAAUCUUUAGGAUAAAUCAAUGCAAUUUUGGAGGAAUCAAUGAAAGGACAUCAAUUCAAAUCCUGGAUUUUCGAAUUGAGAGAGAUCAAGAAUUCUCACUAUUUCUUAGAUUCAUGGACUCAAUUCAAUUCAAUGGGAUCUUUCAUUCACAUUUUUUUCCACCAAAAAUGUUUUAUAAAACUCUUAGACCCCCGAAUUUGGAGUAUCCUACUUUCACGCAAUUCACACCAACCUAACCCAUCCAACAUCAUAAUUACACUCCAUGUGCAUCCACUUUCUCUUUUAAUGAUCUAAUUACUCAAUAAGGACCUCAAAUUUUAAGUUCUAUAGCUAAUUAACACAUUUAGCUAAUAGAACAUAACUUUAGCACUUUACGCGAUUUAGUCCUUUUGACUAAAUUGAGUGCCCAAAAGUCGAAAUUUUCAAACGAUAUUUCACGAAAUUAUUCCGUAAAAUUGUAGACUAUAAAAAUAUAGUAAAAUAAAUUUUCUUACGUCGGAUUUAGGGUCCCAAAAUUACUAUUCCGACUAGGCCCAAAAUCGGGUUGUUACACAUCCCUAGUGGUAAGGUGAAAAGUCAUCGUGUGGAUAAAAAGAUAGAGAGAGUGGUUAAAAGAAAGAGAAAGAAAGUAGGAAAAAUGUUCUCUUGUAUUGUUUUUAUAGUCUCUUCCGUGCAAUGAUAAGUCGUAUAUAUGACAUCUCACAAUGUUCUCUUGUAUUGUUUUUAUAGUCUCUUCAGUACAAUGAUAAAUCAUAUAUAUGACAUCUCACAUGUCAUGACAUCACUAGCAAAAAGGUCACGUCUUGUCUUCUCACAGGUGCGGGAAUGCGAAUUCAAAGGUGGGUAAUGCAACGCCUUAAUAUGGUUAAACAAUUAACGGGUGUAAGGUUACAUAUACUCUUAACGAAGUUAGUCUAUAAUGAAGGUUCGUUCACCUUACCAUAGAGCCACUUGAUGUUAUGAGUUCAAUCAAUAGAAUUAGAUUUUUUAAAACCUUGUUCAUGGCAUGUAAUCUAGAACAUUUAAAUGUAGAGUUGAAAACACAUAAAAUAUGUAUAUUUAAUUUCUAAUCAUUGUUGGUAUAGAAAAAAAAAAAAGAUGUUCAACUAGCUUUUAACCUUACAUACAAAGUAAAGGGUGUCAUAUUCACAUAAACUUACACAAAAGCAUGGUUAUAGUCAUGGUAAUGAAAAUUCUUGUAAAUGAAAUGAGCCAACCAUUUUGAAGCUGCAAAACAAACGAUAGCCAUUGAUACCAUUGUUGUUUUAACCACCAUUGAUAUCAUGUUUUGCUUUGUUACAGCAACGAUGCCAAUCAAACCAACAGACGUGAUUUGUAGUAUUACUUCGAGUGCCUUGAGACCUUUAUGUGCAGUAUUACAACUCUUACAAUUCACCACAUGACUCCAAUACCUGCAAAACAAGAACAAAGGUUAUAAGGUAUGUUACCCGGGUUCAGAGCGUUGGAUUCACGUACAUAUUCGAUACAGGUAUGUUCAUAUGUUAGGAUACAAGCUCCCAUAUUUCGAGAAAAGUGAAGAGUCAGAGCAAUAUAAGGACAAAGUUACUAAAUUUACCUGUCCAUUAGUUGUUCUCUAGGAGGGGACGGAGGAAGAGCUCCACUAUACUUCCCUUUCCAAUCAAUCUCACCGCCGGCAUACUUGUUGAACCACCUUCGGAAACCGACUACUAAGGCAUCCGACUUUGUAGGCACGAAACAAGCUUUUUGCCAACUGGUAGCCCCGAUUUCCAUUAUUUUACGCUCCUACAUGGAGAAAUAAGGUGUAAAACAAAACGAAGUUUACUAGGCAAGAAUAUUUGCAUAUAGCUAUGUGUUAAACAUGAGUUCUUCAUAUAUUUAGAGGGUCCUUAAAAGUUGAUUGUCCAAAUAAGCAUGGAAUAUGAUUGUCAGAUACUGAGUACUCAUAAAAAAAGUGAAUGUACCUAAGAGGCCUCUCUGUUAUAGGGAUUUGAUCAAAUUAGUCCUUCAACUAUUAAAUAGAUCAAUUUAGUCCCUUUACUAUUAAAAAGAAUCAAAUAAGACCAAAUUAGAAUAGAGUUAAAAUUUACUAUUUUAAAAAGUUAAUAUUUUUAAAGUUUUUACGAUUUUGUAAAUAAAAUCUUUUGUUUAGAUUUGAGUUGCAAUUGAAAAAUAAUAAUUUUCAAUACAUUUUUUAGAUAGUGAAUGUUAACUCUAUUACAAUUUGGACUUAUUUGAUUCUUUUUAAUACUAUAAGGACUAAAUUAAUCCAUUUAAUAAUAGAGGGGACUAAUUUGAUCCAGUACCUAUACAGGUACUUUAACCCAUAAACAAAUGAAAAGUCGAAGCCAUAUAGAUUUUUUGAAUGAAACUCAUCAAAGAGCCAGAGAUAUAG
Molecule: long non-coding RNA, 8414 nt
Filed under: Gossypium barbadense (sea-island cotton)
Lineage: Eukaryota; Viridiplantae; Streptophyta; Magnoliopsida; Malvales; Malvaceae
Description: long non-coding RNA (GBAR_LNC018231)
Source: RNAcentral